This 1818-nucleotide ribosomal RNA is filed under the name human metagenome. RNAcentral describes it as "bacterial LSU rRNA". It matches the Rfam family "Bacterial large subunit ribosomal RNA", at positions 505 to 2321 of the family's 2925-position model. The record is from RNAcentral.
GAGGGAAAGGUGAAAAGCACUUCGAUAAGAAGAGUGAAAUAGUUCCUGAAACCAUACGCCUACAAGCGGUCGGAGCCGGUAUAUCCGGUGACGGCGUGCCUUUUGCAUAAUGAACCUACGAGUUACCAUCUCUGGCAAGGUUAAGAGUAAUGAUGCUCCCAGCCGCAGUGAAAGCGAGCCUGAAUAGGGCGUUUAAGUCAGAGGGGGUAGACGCGAAACCAAGUGAUCUACACUUGACCAGGUUGAAGUUCCGGUAACACGGAAUGGAGGACCGCACCGAUAAGCGUUGAAAAGCUUCCGGAUGAGUUGAGUGUAGGAGUGAAAGGCCAAUCAAACUUGGAGAUAGCUCGUACUCCCCGAAAGGCAUUUAGGUGCCGCGUGCAUCGAUCUCCAUGAGAGGUAGAGCGACCGAUAGGUCAAGAGGGCUUCACCGCCUAUCGAGACCUGACGAACUCCGAAUGCUCACGGACUGCAGCCAUGCAGUAAGGGGGCGGGUGCUAAGGUCCGUCCCCGAGAGGAGAAGAAUCCAGACCGCCGUCUAAGGCCCCGAAAUUCUGUCUGAGUUAGUCUAACGAAGUCCGGUCCCCAUGACAGCUAGGAUGUUGGCUUGGAAGCAGCCAUUCAUUCAAAGAGUGCGUAACAGCUCACUAGUCGAGGGUCCGGGCAUGGAUAAUAAUCGGGUAUAAGUCAGAUGCCGAAGGCGCGGGAUAGCAAUGUAUAUUAAAAGUAUCGGUAGGGGAGCAUACCAUGUGCGCAGAAUGGUGAAGAUGACUGAUCCUGGAGCGCAUGGUAAAGCAAAUGUAGGUAUAAGUAACGACAAGAGGGGUAAGAUUCCCCUCCGCCGUAAGUCUAAGGUUUCCCGGGCAAUGCCAAUCAUCCCGGGGUAAGUCGGGUCCUAAGUCUCAGCCGAAUGGCGAAGGCGAUGGCAGAAACGGUCAACAUUCCGUUACUACCUUCAGGAGCGACGUGGAGACGGAGCAGUGACACUGCCGCGGGGCGACGGAAGUCCCCGUUGAAGAGCGUAGGCGUUGAUCGGAGCAGGCAAAUCCACUCCGAGAGCCGACCUUGACAGUACGGCCUCCCCCUCGGGGGAAGCUGACAGCGCAGGUAACCAUACUCCCGAGAAAAUCCGCUAAGCUUUAUCCUGUGGGUACCCGUACCGCAAUCCGACACAGGUAGACGGGUAGAACAUACUGAGGCGUUGAGAGAUUCAUGGUUAAGGAACUAGGCAAACUGACCCCGUAACUUCGGGAUAAGGGGUCCUCAUAGCAAUAUGAGGCGCAGAGAAUAGGUCCAGGCAACUGUUUAACAAAAACACAGGGCUGUGCAAACUCGAAAGAUGACGUAUACAGCCUGACACCUGCCCGGUGCCGGAAGGUUAAGAGGAGAGCUCAUCCUUUAAGGUGAAGGUUUGAAUUGAAGCCCCGGUAAACGGCGGCCGUAACUAUAACGGUCCUAAGGUAGCGAAAUUCCUUGUCGGGUAAGUUCCGACCUGCACGAAUGGUGUAAUGAUCCGGACGCUGUCUCAACCAUGAUCUCAGUGAAAUUGUAGUAUCGGUGAAGAUGCCGAUUACCCGCGAUGGGACGAAAAGACCCCGUGAACCUUUACUACAGCUUAGCAUUGAUCUCGGUCAUCCGAUGUGUAGGAUAGGCCGGAGGCUUCGAAGCGCGGGCGCCAGCCUGUGUGGAGCCAUCCUUGAAAUACGGCCCUUUGGCUGUCUGAGGUCUAACCCGCACGAUUGCGGGGACACUGCUUGGUGGGUAGUUUGACUGGGGUGGUCGCCUCCAAAAGCGUAACGGAGGCUUCCAAAGGUGCCC